This 1500-nucleotide long non-coding RNA is filed under the name Androctonus crassicauda. The record is from RNAcentral. Lineage: Eukaryota; Metazoa; Arthropoda; Arachnida; Scorpiones; Buthidae.
CAUUUUUACAAAUAAAAAUUGGUUUCUUCAUUUCCGUUCCGCGAACUUAUUGAACAACCGUAGUGAAGCAAAAGAAAUGUAUAGUGAAGUGAAUGUGAAUAAGGUGAAAAGGGAUACAUAAUAUUGUAGAAUGAUGAGGUAGCACAUACAUUGCAGAGAAGAAAAGGAUAUAUCUAGGAAUUUUAAAUGGUGGCAAGAGGAUGCUUGAGAAACACUGUGUACAAAUGGUGGAAACAAAUGAGCAUAAGUAACAAGAGAGAAGAAUGAGAAACUGCAAAAUGAUUUUGAGUAAAAUUUUGAAACUAUAUGAGAGGUUUGAACAGAAAACAAGGUUGAAAUGUAUAUAAUAUGAAUAGCAAAGCUUUGCAAGCUGCUUUAGAAGAAUCUGGUUGAUUGAUAAAUAAUGAGAAUAUUUCUAUAUGCUCUUUAAGAUUGCUGAAAAGAGGAAUGAGAUUGAAAGUGAUGAGAAUCUAAUGAAUAAUUGGGAGCAUGAAAGAGAGAAAAUCAAUAUGGAAAUGGUUGUGAUCAUGAUUGGUAAUUUUAAGUAUAGUAAGAGCCCUAGCAUGGAUGAGGUCAUGACUGAGAUGUUGAAGUUUGAUAAAGACCUGUUCUGAAAAGGACAUGAUGCCUAUGUAAGUUAUAUUAGUUAAAUGACAUAGUUCUGAAUGAUUGAACUAAGGAUAUGUUUAUUCCAAUCUACAAGAAGAAGAGAGACAUAUGAGUAUAAGAAUUAUAGAAGCAUAAACCUGCUGAGUAUAGUUAAGAAAGUGGCCAGUAAGAUUCUGAUCAAGAGAAUGAAACAAGUGAUUGAUAAGCAUAUACUAAUUGUACAUUUGUCUUCAGGAAUGGAAGAGAAUGAUAUAUGGACUAAAUAUUCUCAAUGCAUAUGAUUAAGAUAAAUAUUUUCAUAUGAGGAAGAGGAUAUUAUUCACUAUGUGAAUAUUGAGAAGGUAUAUGAUCAUAGAGCUGUGGAGAUUAAUUAAAGAAUAUAGGCUUCAUUAACUGCUUAUAGGAUUUGAGAACAAUGUUUGCUGACAGUUGUAUGAAUAUGAUAGUGAAUGAAGACAUACCAAAGUAGUUUGUAAUUGAGAAAAGGACAAAGAUUAUUCUUUUCCCUAUAUUGAUUGUAUCCAUGAAUAAAUGUAUGAGAGAAGUUGAUAUGAAUGAUUUGAAUGUAAAGAUCAGUGAUGAGAGAUUAUGAUGUCUUCUAUAUGGCACUGACCUGGUUCUGAGAAUGCUUGUUGUGCAAUUAAAUGAAUCAUAUAACAAGAAGUAGAUAAGAAUAAAUGUGAGAAAGAUGAAAUUGCUUGUGUCUGAAAGAAAUGAGAAGCAUAUUAGAUAUGAGAUUAAAUUGAAGGAGAUGAAUUUGGAGCAGGUGAAUGAGUUUAUAUAGUUAGGAAAGAUGUUUCAUAUAGAAGAUUGCAUUGAUAGUAAGACUGCAAGUAAAAAAAUGCUGAAUUAAAAAUUAUAGAUACACUUGGGAAAUAUGUUUAAAAUGAG